CAGUAGCCACGGUAAUACAGAGGGUGCGAGCGUUAAUCGGAUUUACUGGGCGUAAAGCGUGCGUAGGCGGCUUCUUAAGUCGGAUGUGAAAUCCCUGAGCUUAACUUAGGAAUUGCAUUCGAUACUGGGAAGCUAGAGUAUGGGAGAGGAUGGUAGAAUUCCAGGUGUAGCGGUGAAAUGCGUAGAGAUCUGGAUGAAUACCGAUGGCGAAGGCAGCCAUCUGGCCUAAUACUGACGCUGAGGUACGAAAGCAUGGGGAGCAAACAGGAUUAGAUACCCCGGUAGUCCCUGUCUCUUAUAC
This 301-nucleotide ribosomal RNA is filed under the name uncultured bacterium. RNAcentral describes it as "partial 16S ribosomal RNA". It matches the Rfam family "Bacterial small subunit ribosomal RNA", at positions 509 to 807 of the family's 1533-position model. The record is from RNAcentral.